GCCUCAUUUCCUGUGUUUCUCACUAGAGUUGAUUAUUAUUCUUGUUUUCUCCUUCUCUAAGACCAGGUCCCAGGAGAUGGACAUUAGAAGAACAGAGGAAGAUCUGAACUCAACUUAAAUGCCACUUGGGAUCCUCGAAGCCUACAUUAAGUUGGAUUUUGCCUGUCAUGAGUGCCCUGUACAGAGAUGGGAAGUGGAGGCACAAGAAUCCUUGGAAGGUGAGGACCACCGCCUAAGAUUGUUCUCUGAGCUGCACAGAUUGCACUGUCCAUGCCUGGACUCACACAUCGCAAUAUGUACACAUACAUCAUAUGUUCAUAUUCAUAGACACAUAUACAAAAAACGUAUCUAUGUACAUGUCUGUACAGGCAUAAAAUGGACCUUGUUAAUGACAGAGUUAUGUUUAAUUUGUUUGAUAUUUUUAAAGAUAGGGCUUUACUAUGUACCCCACCAGCCCAGUGACCUCAAAUGACAAUCCUUCUGCCUCGGUCACCCAAAUGGUAAGAUUAUAUUAUGUUGUUCCCACAGUGUUUAUUUCAGAGGAAAAGGGGUUAUGUUGGAAGGACAGUAGAUUCUACAGCUGUUAUUUACUUUCGUAGAGCAACAAAUGUAACUUCCGUAAACACAAUAAAAGAGAAAUAUACAUCCCCUCCUUCGAGACAAGUUCUUCCUCUGUAGUUGGCCUUGAACUCACUGUGCAGUUGAGAACAUACGGAAAUCCUCCUGCUUUAACAUGCCAAGGGAUAGGAUUACACAUAAUACAACCAUACCUGGCUGUAACGAAAAUAUUUCAAAAUCUCCACGUUAUAAAUAUGUGCGUCUGUGAACACCUGCAUGUGCUCACAUCUGCAUGCCUUCACAGCUGGGCCUUAGGCAAGGCAAUACAAGGUUGGUUCUAGGCUCUAAGAUAGAGAACGGCAAACAUGCACAUGUUUUGUGCUUAUUUUUUUGCCUACAUAGGCAAUGUCCACAGGACUAUGGAAACAAACAAUGUAUUUAGGGCUUAGUCCCAAGAUGGUGUGUAAACCAUAAUCUCAGUCCUGAGAGGGUGGGGAGGUAGGCCGGUAGGUCUUGAGUUCCAGGGCAGCCUGGGCUGUGUACCUAGACCCUAUCUCCAAAGCUCGGAGCUGGAGAACAACUUAGAGAUAGAGCAUGUGACAGAGUGUGCUCUGCAGCACCUGAAAUGACAGUGGCAAAGGUAGUGCCCCGCUUAGCACUCACCUUCCAGCCUGAGCCAGAUCCAGGUUUCUCCUGCUCUCAUCAUGGUCCUCAUUGUACUGCGUACUCCCUGCUGUCUCCAGGCGCAGAGGACAGACACGUGGAAUUUGUGUCUUUGGAGAUGAUCUGGUGGAGAGCAAGAACUGUCCGUCCUGUGCAACUGACCUCGAGUGUCAGAUGCUCCUCAUGUCUUAGAUUUAACCGAUUUAAACAGCCUUAACACAAUAGCUUCUGAUGCGAUGUGGUGUGUGUGUGUGUGUGUGUGUGUGUGUGUGUGUGUGUGUGUGUGUGUGUGUGUGUGUGUGUUUAUUUAAGAAAUAAAUAGCUCUCUCCCAGAAUUGAGGAAGAUAUCGAGCUGCUUGCUAACCCGGGGCCUCAGCUCUCACCUCUGAGAAUGUUGUUCUCUGAUGACUUCAGUACUUGGGAGCAGAUAUUUCAAGAACUGAUCCGGGAGGAGAAGCCUGGGGCCAAGUGAACCCUGCAUUUGGAUAAGAAUACUGUGCCAGACGGUGCAGCCCUGGGAUGGAGGCAGCAGCAGCAGACAGCACUUGGCAGGUCUCCUUACGAAAGCACUUCAGGAGUCUUUGAAGAGUGGCCCCAAGUGCCAACAAAGUCUUCCCUCCUGCUCUCUGCUACUGGAGGCCUGGCUUUGUAUCCAGCUGCUCAGCCCUCUUAUCAAGAGAAAACAUAAUAAAACACACAAAAUGGGGAAAAAAAAGAAAUAAAACUGCAAAUACAGCUAACAAUGCUGCCUCUCCCCUGCCAGAUUUUCUCUGACUUCUUUUUAUGGACAUUUUAGCCUCCUGAGCACGGUAUGGUCCUAGGUCUGCACAUGUUCAUGUGCCUCACUCAGGUCCUGGCAGGACACGGACAAUAGAAAGAGAAGAUUGUUUAAUAUAAUCUUCCUGCAAACAUGGAGGCUGCAAAGGGGGGGCAUGUGAUAAGUAUGAAGUCUUUAUGAUAGCAACAAAACACAAAAACAAAACAAAAACACGGAACCCAGAAAGUCUUGCUACUGUACACAGGGUCACCUUACAGUAGCUGUGCUCUUCCCGGAAUUAGCACUGCUUCUGCCCACAGAGCCAGGCACUGUUACAGGAGGAAGAGGCCAGAGCCCACCCGUCUCCCUCCUCCCUUCCCUCUAGACUCCUUCCUACUGGGUGUUCUGUCAGAUCAAACAGACUAGAGGAGAAUCCAGGCAAGGUGGGUGACACACACCUGUAACCCCAGCUUCCCAGGAAGCGGAGGCAGGGGGAUUGAAAGAAACCAGGAACACAGACUAUCCUGAACAAUAUGCAGUGAUCUCAUUUCAAAAGUCAAACAAACAAGCAAACAAACACACAAAAUAAACAAGUAAAUAGAGCCAGGCAGGAAAGCUCAUAAUCUUAGCGCUCAAGAAGAGGUGGAGGCUGGAGCUUCACAAGUUUGAGCUCAGCUUGGGCUAUAAAUCUCAUCUCAAAAAUCACAGUCAAAGGAAAUCAAAGUAAAGGUGGAAGGAAGGGAGGUGUUGAUGACCUCCAUAAAGCUUCCAGGGCCAGAGUGUUGGGGUUCAGGAAUCACCUCACAAACCACACAAACAUUGAUCUCAGUCAGAUAGGGAUAGUUUAUUGAGUAUAUACCCCAAGGCUGAUCCAUCAGGGUCACAGCCUAGACUCAGGAGCUAAGGCUAGACCUCGACCAAUUCUCAGGGCCAGUUUAUAAAGAAAAAAAAACCACCAUGAACUCAUGCAUAGCAUGGCAGGGUAGUUGUUCCUGACUCAAGCUAUUUUGGCUAGCUAGACAGAACAGUCCUAACUGACCUU
Molecule: long non-coding RNA, 3020 nt
Filed under: Rattus norvegicus (Norway rat)
Lineage: Eukaryota; Metazoa; Chordata; Mammalia; Rodentia; Muridae
Description: long non-coding RNA NONRATT032913
Source: RNAcentral